GGGCCCGUAGCUCAGUGGUCAGAGCGGUCGGCUCAUAACCGAUUGGUCGCAGGUUCGAUCCCUGCCGGGCCCACCA
RNAcentral lists this transfer RNA (76 nucleotides) under Chloroflexota bacterium. RNAcentral's name for it is "tRNA-Ile". It matches the Rfam family "tRNA". Rfam says of the family: Transfer RNA (tRNA) molecules are approximately 80 nucleotides in length. Their secondary structure includes four short double-helical elements and three loops (D, anti-codon, and T loops). RNAcentral also lists the same sequence under 2 other names. The record is from RNAcentral. Lineage: Bacteria; Bacillati; Chloroflexota.